Molecule: non-coding RNA, 163 nt
Organism: Pelobates cultripes (western spadefoot toad)
Lineage: Eukaryota; Metazoa; Chordata; Amphibia; Anura; Pelobatidae
Source: the annotation of a GenBank genome assembly
GUGUUAUGUCUUAGAUGGUGGUUCCCAAACCAGUCCUCAUGGCCCACAAACACUCCAGGAUUUAUGUAUUUCCCCUUUUCUAUUCCAAUGGAGAUACUGACAAAAACUUGACUGUUGGUGGGUCGUCAGGACUGGUUUGGGAACCACUGUCUUAGACAAUUAC